Molecule: ribosomal RNA, 324 nt
Filed under: uncultured Limnofilidae
Lineage: Eukaryota; Cercozoa; Limnofilidae
Description: bacterial SSU rRNA
Rfam family: Eukaryotic small subunit ribosomal RNA (bases 112-324)
Source: RNAcentral
GAUUUCUACCUGACCGUCCUGGCCCGCUUUCUUUUUGGAAGUGAGUGCUGAGAUGAGUCUGGUAUCCUUAUCGAGAGCCAGGCCUAUCCUUCACUGGAUUGGGCGUGUGCGAUCGAUAUCAUUUACUUUGAAAAAAUUAGAGUGUUUAAAGCAGGCUUACGCUGUGAAUACAUUAGCAUGGAAUAAUAAUAUAGGACUUCGGUUCUAUUUUGUUGGUUUCUAGGACUGAAGUAAUGAUUGAUAGGGAUAGUUGGGGGUGCUAGUAUUCCGCGGCCAGAGGUGAAAUUCUUGGAUUCGCGGAAGACUAACUACUGCGAAAGCAUU